Molecule: ribosomal RNA, 898 nt
Filed under: Gloeochaete wittrockiana
Lineage: Eukaryota; Glaucocystophyceae; Gloeochaetales; Gloeochaetaceae
Description: partial Bacterial large subunit ribosomal RNA
Rfam family: Bacterial large subunit ribosomal RNA
Source: RNAcentral
AGGUAUCACUUAAGUGAAUAAAAUAGCUUUCGUGAAGCGAACCCGGCGAACUGAAACAUCUCAGUAGCUCGAGGAAAAGACAUCAACCGAGAUUCCGUUAGUAGUGGCGAGCGAACGCGGACCAGGCCAGUGCCUGAAUUUCAACUAGCAGAAACCUUUGGAAAGAGGUGCCAUAGCGGGUGACAGCCCCGUAUGCGAAAGUGAGAAUUCAGGACUUGAGUAGGGCGGGACACGUGUAAUCCUGUCUGAACAUAGGGGGACCACCCUCUAAGCCUAAAUACUCGUAUGCGACCGAUAGCGAACUAGUACCGUGAGGGAAAGGUGAAAAGCACCCCGAUGAGGGGAGUGAAACAGUACCUGAAACGGAUUGCCUACAAGCAGUUGGAGGGUCCUUGAGGCCUGACAGCGUACCUCUUGCAUAAUGGGUCUGUGACUUAAUGUAUCAAGCAAGCUUAAGCCGUUAGGUGUAGGCGCAGCGAAAGCGAGUCUGAAUAGGGCGCCAGAGUUUGAUGUAUUAGACCCGAAACCCGGCGAUCUAGGCAUGACCAGGAUGAAGGUGCGGUAACACGCACUGGAGGUCCGAACCGAUUAACGUUGAAAAGUUACCGGAUGAGUUGUGUUUAGGGGUGAAAGGCCAAUCAAGCCGGGAAAUAGCUGGUUCUCCGCGAAAACUAUUGAGGUAGUGCCUCGAGCGAAUACCGUAGGGGGUAGAGCACUGGAUGGAUGCGGGGGUCGCGAGACCUACCAACUCUAACCAAACUCCGAAUACCCAAGAGUACUAUCCGGCAGACAGACGGUGGGUGCUAACGUCCAUCGUCAAAAGGGAAACAACCCUGACCGCCAGCUAAGGCCCCCAAAUCAUGGCUAAGUGUGAAAGGAUGUGGGGAUCCCAAAACAA